Molecule: long non-coding RNA, 964 nt
Organism: Helicoverpa zea (corn earworm)
Lineage: Eukaryota; Metazoa; Arthropoda; Insecta; Lepidoptera; Noctuidae
Exons: 3
Source: RefSeq, a predicted model, not a curated record
CGAGGCGUGUCGAUGCCCGGGACGGGUCACCGCGCAGCGCCGCGGCCUCGCCGGCCGGGCUUGCCGCGGCGGUUGAAGCCCCUGGUGUUGUGAUGGUCAGCGGCGGUGGUCCGGAGUCGCCGUAGCCAAUGAUGCCUCCUUUGGAUAGCUGGUACGCCAUUAGAGCGGCCAUUUUAGCUUGCAGCUCCUUUAACAUAAGCGGUGCUGAGUUUAAUUUUUUCCCUUCCAAAUAACAUAGUGUUGAAAAAAAUAUUACGGAGAAAAUUUUUAGAAAAUCACAUGAGUAUUUAACACUAUUUCUCAUUUUGUCUAUAGUACAAUGCUAAAGUGCAUUUGUGCAAAAUAGUACGUAAUAAACCAGUAGAUUAUUCUACCUGGCUAUGUCUUCAUGUUCUCAAAGUAAAAGUGUUAUUAUACAUAUAAACUUUCCUCUUUAAUCACUCUACCUAUUGAAAAAAACCGCAUGAAAAUCGGUUGCGUAGUUUUAAAAAUUUAAGCGUACAAAGGGACAUAGGGACAAAAAAGCGACUUUGUUUUAUACUAUGUAGUGAUAUUGUAUAACUUGACAAAUCGAUAAAGCACUAAACUUCUUGCCAAACUUGAAGAAAUGUGAAUACUUACUUUAAUUUCAUCGGUCAACAUGAACGGUGGAGCGUUGGCAGAAGAAAUUGGCGGUGGGGCACCAGCCAAGCUCGACGGCUCGAUGGUCAACUGUACGCGGCAAACCGGGCAGAUUUCCUAUACAAAUCAAAAUUUAUUGCCGGCUGCUAAGAAGAUGGAGAGCCAAGCAGUGGCUAUGGAAAUAGUGGUAGCACUCCGUCCUGAUGAAAAUGUCCCCCUUCGUGAACCCAAAGAGACAGAUCAUGCAUUGACCGCUUGGCAAGUUGCUCUCCGUAAGACAUUCACGAAUAAGCUGAAAAUUGAUUGCUUUCUAUACUAAUAUAAUAAAGAGGAUUUUUUUUUA